GUGCCAGCCGCCGCGGUAAUACCGGCAGCCCAAGUGAUGGCCGCUGUUAUUGGGCCUAAAGCGUCCGUAGCUGGCCGCGCAAGUCCAUCGGGAAAUCCACCUGCUCAACAGGUGGGCGCCCGGUGGAAACUGUGCGGCUUGGGACCGGAAGGCGCGACGGGUACGUCCGGGGUAGGAGUGAAAUCCCAUAAUCCCGCACGGACCACCGAUGGCGAAAGCACUUCGAGAAAACGGAUCCGACAGUGAGGGACGAAAGCCAGGGUCUCCAACCGGAUUAGAUACCCUGGUAGUCC
Molecule: ribosomal RNA, 293 nt
Filed under: uncultured bacterium
Lineage: Bacteria
Description: partial 16S ribosomal RNA
Rfam family: Archaeal small subunit ribosomal RNA
Source: RNAcentral